This 117-nucleotide ribosomal RNA is filed under the name Pteropus alecto (black flying fox). Lineage: Eukaryota; Metazoa; Chordata; Mammalia; Chiroptera; Pteropodidae. The record is from RNAcentral.
ACUUUCAAGAGUAGUGUGCCGUGAAUGCACCCGACCUAAUCUCGGAAGCUUAAGCAGGGUUGGGCCUGGUUAGUACUAGGAUGGGAGAUCGCCUUGGAAUACCAGGCCCUGUAGGUA